UACCAGCACCCCGAGUGGUCGGGACGAUUAUUGGGCCUAAAGCAUCCGUAGCCGGUUCUGCAAGUCCCCCGUUAAAUCCACCUGCUUAACAGAUGGGCUGCGGAGGAUACUAUAGAGCUAGGAGGCGGGAGAGGCAAGCGGUACUUAGUGGGUAGGGGUAAAAUCCGUUGAUCCAUUGAAGACCACCAGUGGCGAAGGCGGCUUGCCAGAACGCACUCGACGGUGAGGGAUGAAAGCUGGGGGAGCAAACCGG
This 253-nucleotide ribosomal RNA is filed under the name uncultured bacterium. RNAcentral's name for it is "partial 16S ribosomal RNA". It matches the Rfam family "Archaeal small subunit ribosomal RNA", at positions 474 to 727 of the family's 1478-position model. The record is from RNAcentral.